RNAcentral lists this ribosomal RNA (497 nucleotides) under uncultured bacterium. Its description in RNAcentral is "partial 16S ribosomal RNA". It matches the Rfam family "Bacterial small subunit ribosomal RNA", at positions 28 to 507 of the family's 1533-position model. The record is from RNAcentral.
GACGAACGCUGGCGGCGUGCCUAAUACAUGCAAGUUGAGCGCUGAAGGUUGGUACUUGUACCAACUGGAUGAGCAGCGAACGGGUGAGUAACGCGUGGGGAAUCUGCCUUUGAGCGGGGGACAACAUUUGGAAACGAAUGCUAAUACCGCAUAAAAACUUUAAACACAAGUUUUAAGUUUGAAAGAUGCAAUUGCAUCACUCAAAGAUGAUCCCGCGUUGUAUUAGCUAGUUGGUGAGGUAAAGGCUCACCAAGGCGAUGAUACAUAGCCGACCUGAGAGGGUGAUCCGCCACAUUGGGACUGGGACACGGCCCCAACUCCUACGGGAGGCAGCAGUAGGGGAUCUUCGGCAAUGGACGAAAGUCUGACCGAGCAACGCCGCGUGAGUGAAGAAGGUUUUCGGAUCGUAAAACUCUGUUGGUAGAGAAGAACGUUGGUGAGAGUGGAAAGCUCAUCAAGUGACGGUAACUACCCAGAAAGGGUCGGCUAACUACGUG